GACGAAGGAUGCAAGCGUUAUCCGGAUUCAUUGGGUUUAAAGGGAGCGUAGGUGGGCUUGUAAGUCAGUGGUGAAAUCUUUGGGCUUAACCCAGAAACUGCCAUUGAUACUGCAGGUCUAGAGUACAGUUGCCGUUGGCGGAAUAUGACAUGUAGUGGUGAAAUACUUAGAUAUGUCAUAGAACACCGAUUGCGAAGGCAGCUAACGAAGCUGUAACUGACACUGAGGCUCGAAAGUGCGGGGAUC
RNAcentral lists this ribosomal RNA (246 nucleotides) under uncultured bacterium. Its description in RNAcentral is "partial 16S ribosomal RNA". It matches the Rfam family "Bacterial small subunit ribosomal RNA", at positions 524 to 769 of the family's 1533-position model. The record is from RNAcentral.